Molecule: ribosomal RNA, 434 nt
Filed under: uncultured bacterium
Lineage: Bacteria
Description: bacterial SSU rRNA
Rfam family: Bacterial small subunit ribosomal RNA
Source: RNAcentral
GACGAACGCUGGCGGCGUGCUUAAAACAUGCAAGUCGAACGAGGCCUAUGGCCUAGUGGCGAACGGCGGAGUAAUACAUAAGCAACCUGCCCCGAAGACCGGGAUAGCCCUCCGAAAGAGGGAUUAAUACCGGAUGUGUCCCUCAGGAGGCAUCUCUUGAGGAGUAAAACGACGUAAGCGGCUUUGGGUGGGGCUUGUGGUCUAUCACCUUGUUGGUGGGGUAACGGCCUACCAAGGGUUCGACGGANAGCUGGUCUGAGAGGACGAUCAGCCCGACUGGGACUGAGACACGGCCCAGACUCCUACGGGAGGGCAGCAGUUGGGAAUCUUGCACAAUGGGGGCAACCCUGAUGCAGCGACGCCGCGUGGAGGACGAAGUCUCUCGGGAUGUAAACUCCUUUUGCCAGGAAAGAUAAUGACGGUACCUGGUGAAU